GCAUGUCCUACAGGGAUAAAAUUCUAUAGAUGUGCGGCCGAUUUGUGCAAUCAGGUCAGAGCAUGACAUGAAGAUGCUCUCUAGCUAUUGUGGCCUGUUACUUGAGCUGCAAUCUGUCUCACGGGCCAAGAUGAGAUGCUUUCUCAGCUAAAGUGGCUUUCUAUAGUUGUCAAUUUGAAAUUAUAUGCAUAGAACUUCAGUAAAUCAUGGGAGAACCAAAACAAAUUAGUUUAGCAUUACACAGAAUAUCAUAUAAGAUACCCGCAGGUUGGCCAAGGGAUUGCAAU
This 287-nucleotide long non-coding RNA is filed under the name Elaeis guineensis (African oil palm). RNAcentral describes it as "long non-coding RNA (EGUI_LNC002107)". The record is from RNAcentral. Lineage: Eukaryota; Viridiplantae; Streptophyta; Magnoliopsida; Arecales; Arecaceae.